Molecule: microRNA precursor, 69 nt
Filed under: Marek's disease virus serotype 2 MDV2
Lineage: Duplodnaviria; Heunggongvirae; Peploviricota; Herviviricetes; Herpesvirales; Orthoherpesviridae
Description: microRNA mdv2-mir-M28 precursor
Gene: mdv2-mir-M28
Source: miRBase by way of RNAcentral
UCGCGAUUUUCUCGACGCCUACCCUCGGCGUUGUUCGUCGGCCGAGGGUAGGCGCAGAGGAAAUCGCGG